RNAcentral lists this small nuclear RNA (302 nucleotides) under Neotoma lepida (desert woodrat). RNAcentral's name for it is "7SK RNA". It matches the Rfam family "7SK RNA". Rfam says of the family: 7SK was discovered as an abundant small nuclear RNA in the mid-70s but a possible function has only recently been suggested. Two independent studies have found that 7SK RNA binds the CDK9/cyclin T complex (known as elongation factor P-TEFb). The record is from Rfam by way of RNAcentral. Lineage: Eukaryota; Metazoa; Chordata; Mammalia; Rodentia; Cricetidae.
GGAUAUGAAGAGGAUGGCACUGUGGUGUAUGUUAACCCACUGACUGUCAGGGUUAAUCUUGCUGGCCAACCAGGUGUCCUCUUCUUCUCUCACUGCUCCAUGUUUUUCCCUCUUGAAGCUGAGCAGUCAGUCAGUCAAAGAGGACUGUUCUUGGGCCAAGGGUAUAUGAGGAGCUGUGCUCCCUGACAGAACAUCCAAACCAACUAAGUUUGUAUUUCCAAAACCUGAACGACUGUCCUGAAUGUGAAGAGUCAAGCCUAUCCCUCUAUGUAUAUUAUGUAUACUCUAUACAGUACAAUUGU